Molecule: long non-coding RNA, 1121 nt
Organism: Astatotilapia calliptera (eastern happy)
Lineage: Eukaryota; Metazoa; Chordata; Actinopteri; Cichliformes; Cichlidae
Source: Ensembl
UUUAGAACCCAUGUAAAGAAUGUUAUAUUUAGCUCACAAGCAGGUGUUUAGUUAUUGUGGUGUGUUGGGUUAUUAGACCAAAAAUAAGACCUGGUUUGUUCUAGAUCUUGGAAACUGUCAUGGAAAAAUAACAUGGAAAUGAAGUAAGGCCUUUCCUUUGUUUUUCUCCAUCUUUUCCUGCACUUAACAUUGAAGCAUCAUGGAUACAGCAGCGUUUGCUAGAUGACUCAAUUUGUAAUAGCGCCAAAGCUGAAUUCUUGAUUUAUGAACAGUCGGGGAUCUACAAGAGGCUAUUAAAUAUAGGGAACGAGGAGGAGUGAGGUGUAUGAAUGUAAAUUAAAAUCCAGGAUUUUCCUGUGCAAAGAUGCUUUUUUUUGUAUGAGAAGUAUUUGAAGUUUAUACCAUAAAUGGAUGAUUACAAAGUCUUUUUUUUUUUUUUUUUUUGUAUAAAAUUUCCAGUGUGACCAUCUUGCAGUACAGUCAAAGUGUAUUGAUGGUGACAGCAUAAAUUAAGACAAUCAUUCAUGCAGCACCCGGUAUGUAAAUGUCUGCUGUGUGUGUGUGUGUGUGUGUGUGUGUGUGUGUGUGUACACUGAUUAUAUAAGUGUGUGAGUCAAAGUGAAUGAAAGGCAGGCUUAUGCUGGUGGGGAACAGUGUGUGUGUUUAUGAAAUACAUCCAAGCUCAACCUGAGUUUGUUGAUUCAACUUCGCGAGUUUGGACAGAGACAUUUCACAGAGCAUAAUUCUGCUUUGCAAAGCCACCAAAACUCAGCGAGGCAUACUUUCAGGGCCCUGAAAGUUCCACAACGUCAAACACGCUGAUCCAAGCAUUUCCAUCUCAACAAUGGUUGUAGUAAUUUAAAUGAUCUGACAGGUACAUCCUCUCUCUUGACAGACGCAAGUUAUUACAAAGAGUUUGUGAUUCACAUAUGGGCUGAGCUGAGACUAUACCAAGUACAGAAGCACAAUCCUUCAUUCACUUAUUCCCUUGGAUAUAUACUUUUAGACCCAAUUUAAAUCUGGUGUUUGUAAGGGGACAUACGAUAAAACAGAUGCUUAAACAAACAGCUGCUUCUUGGUUUUCACCAGCUGCUUAAUACAAAUGCCAUAAUGGCCUAAGC